GGGAAACUAAAGAAAUUGCACGGGAAUGACUACUCACAUGAACUAAAUUGACGCCUAAGCUCUUGAAACCUUUGACGAUUUUGGCCUUGGCCGGGUUGGAGAGAGCGGGCUCCCUCAGGAGAGCGAAGGUAGGGUGACCGGACUUGGCAC
Long non-coding RNA from Rhodamnia argentea, 150 nucleotides. RefSeq lists it as uncharacterized. The transcript is spliced from 3 exons. The record is from RefSeq and is a predicted model, not a curated record. Lineage: Eukaryota; Viridiplantae; Streptophyta; Magnoliopsida; Myrtales; Myrtaceae.